Molecule: long non-coding RNA, 207 nt
Filed under: Vigna radiata
Lineage: Eukaryota; Viridiplantae; Streptophyta; Magnoliopsida; Fabales; Fabaceae
Description: long non-coding RNA (VRAD_LNC014411)
Source: RNAcentral
CAAGAGGGAAACCACUGAGCGGUGAACUUAGGCACCUGGGCAGUUGUCUAUUUUUAUUAGCUAGAUUCUGUAAUCUUUCUGUUAUCUUUUUGGUCUUAUAUAUAGCCCCAGUGCGAAUCAAAAGGGGAUUCUUUUGGUAGAGAGAAACGUCCAGAGCUAUUCCACACACCUUGGAGGAGGUUCCUUGGAUGCUUAGGCUCCAAUCUA